GACGAACGCUGGCGGCGUGCUUAACACAUGCAAGUCGAACGGAAAUGCCCUGCUUUUGUGGGGUGCUCGAGUGGCGAACGGGUGAGUAACAAGUGAGUAACCUGCCCUUGACUUUGGGAUAACUUCAGGAAACUGGGGCAAAUACCGGAUAGGAGCUCCUGCUGCAUGGUGGGGGGUGGAAAGUUUCGGCGGUUGGGGCUGGACUCGCGGCUUAUCAGCUUGUGGGUGGGGUAGUGGCUUACCAAGGCUUUGACGGGUAGCCGGCCUGCGAGGGUGGCCGGCCACAAUGGGACUGAGGUACGGCCCAGACUGCUACGGGAGGCAGCGGUGGGGAAUAUGGCACAGUGGGCGGAAGCCAGAUGCAGCAACGCCGCGGGCGGGAUGACGGCCUGCGGGUUGUAAACCGCUUUCGCCUGUGACGAAGCGGGAGUGACGGUAAUGGGUAAAGAAGCACCGGCUAACUACGUG
Molecule: ribosomal RNA, 468 nt
Filed under: uncultured bacterium
Lineage: Bacteria
Description: partial 16S ribosomal RNA
Rfam family: Bacterial small subunit ribosomal RNA
Source: RNAcentral